AAGACAUUUUGACAUGGUUAGUUUAUAUUUAGCAAUCUUAAAAAUUGACAUCAAUUAAAUGAAAUUAAGUGCAGUAAAAAUAUCUAGAACAAUAUGUUAUCUUAUUUUUGGGCGUGUCAUUCGGUCAUGAGUUAUCUUUUUGAAAUGAAGUGCACUACAAAGGUGUCGCCGCGGUUUGUCUAUUUAAUUUUGCGCUCGCACGUUCGGUUUGGAUUUGUUGACACGGCGGGAAUUUUUUACGGUGGUUUCGGUUAAAUUUUUCUUCGUAAUUCUAUUGUUUUGAAACCUAUGGUUAUGGGCCCGUUAAUAAUCAAAAAACAUGCCAAGUUUUUACUAGGCAUUCUAAACACACAUUGACAACUAUCCAAUCGGAGAUGAAAGGCGCCUCCGUUAGUAUAGCGUUGUACGUUAGAGACGACUACCUAUAGUAAAUCGGAUUGAACAUCACUAUACCAGUGAAUUUUUUCACCGGAUUAUAGUCUGUUGAAAAAAUAUUUCCCUUUCCAUAUCGUGUAUUGAAACAAUUACAUUAUCGAUGUAAACGAUUUAUCCGAAUCGCCGUAAAAACCUCAUGUCUAAUAUCUAAACAAAAUUAAUGUUGACAAACUGCGGACCGCCCAAAGUGCGUUUAUUUCAUUUAGAUACAUAUCACGUUGGUCAAUGAAGGAAAACAGUGUCCCUGUUUUGUUUGAAAUCAUUGGGUUGAAUUUGUAAAAUUUAUAAAUAACUUUUUGAAUUAAAAAUAGGAUAUUUUUAAUUUCAUUGGUUAUUUUAAGAAAUAUUAUAAUGACUUAAUGAACUCAAACAAAAUAGGGCCGUUGUUUUCCUUCAUUUGACCAAGUAUUUUUUUUUUUUUUAAAUAGCAAUUCCAUGAGUGCAUCCAUCACUAUUUUAUAUUACUCUCAUUGGAUUCUAUCUUAAGUCAAGUAUGCGAAAGUGAAAAGGCCAUACAAUCGUUUUUACAGAAAAUGGCAAAUACAUUUAGAACUGUGGCCAGACGCAAAAAACGGAACUAAUCUGUGAGUUUUUCAUUCAAAUUUAGUUGUAUUUUCUAUCCGUUUACACGGUUUGACCCUUUUUUUGUGUGUGUGUGUGUUAUUUGUUUACGAUUUUUUGACAUGGUAAAGUUUUUUGGUCGUUUUCGAUUAAUUUUUAACCUAGUUUUCUUAGUUUUUACGACUAUGAUUAUGGGUCCAUAUAAAUUCAAAAAAUAUGCCAAGUAUUUACUAAGCAUUCUAUUUUAAAUUGUCAAAUAUACAUCGGAAAUGAAUGGAGCUUCCGUUAUUAUAUCUCUUUAUAUGUUAGAAUAUGUUAGGAUAUGUUAGAAGUGACUUAAUAUUGUAAAUUGUACAUCUCUGCAUUUGUUUAUUGUUUUAGACAAUUUUAGUUUUUUAAAAAAAUAUGUUUCCAUUUUCAUGUAGUAUUGAAAAAUUUCCAUAUGGAUGAUAUCGAUGAAUACAUUUUACCGUUAAAACCUUAUGUUUAAUUUUUAAAAUUAAAUUAACCUUGAAAAACUGUGGACUGCCUAAACUUCAUUAAUUGCUCUUAGAAACGUAUCACACUGGUUUCUGUAAAAAAACGAAGACCCUGGUUUAUUCAAAUCAUUUAUUUUAAGAAUUCUUUAUGAUAAUUUAUGAAUUCUUCUCUUUCAAUAACUUUAUAAAUAGAAAUUUUUUUUUUUUAUCGGUGUUAUUGGUUAUUUAUAACAGAAUAAGUAAACGAUUAUAACUGAAAUCAUAAAUAAAAUGGAAUUGUAAUUAAUAUAUCAGUCUUAGGAGUAUUUUGUGCCACUUUGUAAAAUUAAACAGUUUUGUCACAAAAUUGUAUAUAAUUAUCUUUUCACUUUGCCUAUAAAUAAUAUUUUUUAUGAUAAUUUUUUAUUUAUUCUUUAAUUUUUUUUUACAGAUUUAUAUUGUUUUAUAUUUUUUGUGGUUUGCAGAUUGAUGUUUGUGGCUCCGAUAACUACAUCAACUUGUCAGCUGUUAGUCUGGUAUCAAAAAGUUAAAGACUUUACUACUUGCAGUUAUAGUGAAUUUUUAAAUCUGCUCACAGUUAAAUUGUAUUACCUGAUAAUCAACCGCUAAAUUUUGUAUCUUUCAUUAUAAUUAUAUAGAUAUGUUUUCACUUACAAUCAGUCAAUGGAAGAAUCACUUACUAUUACUUUGGUUUUAUUACUUUACAAUGAUUUUUAACUUAAAUAAUAAUAAUAAUAAUAAUAGUUUUUAAAUUGCAAUUUUUGCUAUUUUCUAUUUUGUUAUAAAUGAUAAUUAUUCACUGAAAUGUCAAAUAAUUAAUUUUUUUGUAUAUUUGGGAGAUUUGAAACUCUUAACAUAAUAAGAGUUUCUUAUACUUAUAAAUAUAAGAACAUUGUUUAAAAGAUGACUUAGAGUGUAUAAACUAGAGCGUUAAUUUAUAUUUUUGUAACUACUCAGUUUUGGUAUACUAGCAUAUUUAGGUUACUUAUAAGUUACUUAUAAUAUCGCUUUUGAUUUAAUUACAUAUUAAUAAAAAGACAAACAUAUGAAUUUAAAUUACAAAAAAAAUUUAAAAAAGAUGGACUUACUUCGCAAAUGGGUGCAGCAACUGUUGUAAAUGGGCAGUUGAGAACUGGUUAAUAAGGUAGGAUACAGACUGUUGCUAACGAAAGUUGAUUCUGACCGGAGUUCAGUUGAUAUUGUUGAUUUAUCAACAAUAUAUAUAUAUGUCAUAUCAUGGUAAAAUUAUUACAAUGUGCAAUAUUCAUGACAAUAAUCCAUGACAAUAAUGAUUAUUUAAAAAAGAUUAUAAUAUUAAAAACUUAAUAAUAACAAAAAAUAAAUAAAAACGGUUGC
Molecule: long non-coding RNA, 2831 nt
Filed under: Cinara cedri
Lineage: Eukaryota; Metazoa; Arthropoda; Insecta; Hemiptera; Aphididae
Source: RNAcentral